AUGAACGCUGGCGGCGUGCCUCAUACAUGCCAGUCGAGCGAACAGACGAGGAGCUUGCUCCUCUGACGUUAGCGGCGGACGGGUGAGUAACACGUGGAUAACCUACCUAUAAGACUGGGAUAACUUCGGGAAACCGGAGCUAAUACCGGAUAAUAUAUUGAACCGCCUGGUUCAAUAGUGAAAGACGGUUUUGCUGUCACUUAUAGAUGGAUCCGCGCCGCAUUAGCUAGUUGGUAAGGUAACGGCUUACCAAGGCAACGAUGCGUAGCCGACCUGAGAGGGUGAUCGGCCACACUGGAACUGAGACACGGUCCAGACUCCUACGGGAGGCAGCAGUAGGGAAUCUUCCGCAAUGGGCGAAAGCCUGACGGAGCAACGCCGCGUGAGUGAUGAAGGUCUUCGGAUCGUAAAACUCUGUUAUUAGGGAAGAACAAAUGUGUAAGUAACUAUGCACGUCUUGACGGUACCUAAUCAGAAAGCCACGGCUAACUACGUG
This 496-nucleotide ribosomal RNA is filed under the name uncultured bacterium. RNAcentral describes it as "partial 16S ribosomal RNA". It matches the Rfam family "Bacterial small subunit ribosomal RNA", at positions 29 to 507 of the family's 1533-position model. The record is from RNAcentral.